Molecule: ribosomal RNA, 404 nt
Filed under: uncultured soil foraminiferan
Lineage: Eukaryota; Foraminifera
Description: partial small subunit ribosomal RNA
Rfam family: Eukaryotic small subunit ribosomal RNA
Source: RNAcentral
AAGGGCACCACAAGAACGCGUGGAGCAUGUGGCUUAAUUUGACCCAACGCGGGAAAUCUUACCGGGUCCGGACACGCUGAGGAUUGACAGGUGUUUGUGUAAAAAGUCUUUUUCUAUCUAUUUUUUUUAAAUAGAAAGAAUAAGCUUUUACACUAUAAAUAUGCUAGUCCUUUCAUGAUUGUGUGAUAGGUGGUGCAUGGCCGUUCUUAGUUCGUGAAGUGAUUUGUCUGCUUAAUUGCGUUUCGGAAAAAAAAGUGUUUUGACACCUUUAGGCGUUUAUUUUUUCUGUUCUUUUUUUAUUUAGUUAAUCUAUUUUCUUCGGAAAAUGAUAGUUACUUUAUACAAAAAAGAAUGAAAUUGACCCUAUUAGGUGUGGAUCACUUUGAAGGCAACGAACGUGACCG